GUCCUCAGCCAUGCUACCCUGAACAAACCUGAAGCCAUCUGAUCUUGGAAGCUAAGCAGGGUCAGGCCUGGUUAGUACUUGGAUGGGAGACCACCUAGGAAGACCAGGUGCUGUAGGUA
Molecule: ribosomal RNA, 119 nt
Filed under: Pteropus alecto (black flying fox)
Lineage: Eukaryota; Metazoa; Chordata; Mammalia; Chiroptera; Pteropodidae
Source: RNAcentral